RNAcentral lists this unclassified non-coding RNA (23 nucleotides) under Mus musculus (house mouse). RNAcentral's name for it is "oocyte_clustered_small_RNA1399". Lineage: Eukaryota; Metazoa; Chordata; Mammalia; Rodentia; Muridae. The record is from RNAcentral.
AGGGGCCACUGGGAAAGGAGCGG